GUUUCCCUGCUGCUGCAGCCCCCGUCGGCUCCUCUUUUCCAGUCCUCCCUGCCGGGGCUGGGCCCGGCCGCGGGAAGGACCGAAGGGGAUACAGCGUGUCCCUACGGCGGCUGCAAGAGGACUAAGCAUGGAUGGCAGCCGGAGAGUCAGAGCAACCUCUGUCCUUCCCAGAUAUGGUCCACCGUGCCUAUUUAAAGGACACUUGAGCACCAAAAGUAAUGCUUUUUGCACUGACUCCUCUUCUCUCAGACUAAGCACUCUCCAGCUGGUCAAGAAUCACAUGGCUGUUCACUAUAAUAAAAUCCUUUCAGCCAAAGCUGCAGUAGACUGCUCAGUUCCAGUAAGCAUGAGUACCAGCAUAAAGUAUGCAGACCAACAACGAAGAGAGAAACUCAAAAAGGAAUUAGCACGAUGUGAAAAAGAGUUCAAAUUAACUAAAACUGCAAUGCGAGCCAAUUAUAAAAAUAAUUCCAAGUCACUUUUUAAUACCUUACAAAAGCCCUCAGGCGAACCGCAAAUUGAGGAUGACAUGUUAAAAGAAGAAAUGAAUGGAUUUUCAUCCUUUGCAAGGUCACUAGUACCCUCUUCAGAGAGACUACACCUAAGUCUACAUAAAUCCAAUAAAGUCAUCACAAAUGGUCCUGAGAAGAACUCCAGUUCCUCCCCGUCCAGCGUGGAUUAUGCAGCCUCCGGGCCCCGGAAACUGGGCUCUGGAGCCCUGUAUGGCAGAAGGCCCAGAAGCACAUCCCCAAAUUCCCACCGGUUUCAGUUAGUCAUUUCGAAAGCACCCAGUGGGGAUCUUUUGGAUAAACAUUCUGAACUCUUUUCUAACAAACAAUUGCCAUUCACUCCUCGCACUUUAAAAACAGAAGCAAAAUCUUUCCUGUCACAGUAUCGCUAUUAUACACCUGCCAAAAGAAAAAAGGAUUUUACAGAUCAACGGAUAGAAGCUGAAACCCAGACUGAAUUAAGCUUUAAAUCUGAGUUGGGGACAGCUGAGACUAAAAACAUGACAGAUUCAGAAAUGAACAUAAAGCAGGUAAUAAGUAUGAAAUCUUUUGGUAUUGCUACAUUUGAAUUACAGAUGUUUUUCUGUAAAUAGAAUAUGUACAGCUAUUUAGACUGUGAAGAAUAAUCUGUUGGUGGCACUUAUCAUACAUGAUAUAGCCAGUAUACAGAAGAUCUGCCUAUUUACAAAUGGUUAUAGCUCUCUCUGAAUGGCCAGGUGGAUCCUGCCAAAUCUGGGAAGUCAUUUGUUACUAACAUCUUUCCUAGAUGAUUGGUUGGCUGGCUGGACAGAUGGAAGGAUCAGUAAAAUACCUUAAGUAUUGUUUUCAAAGAUGCAGACCUGGAUUACUAGAGGAGCCAGCAGAGUAGUGCAGAAGUUGAGUUUUUAUACCUUUUUUUUUUUUGUAAAGAAUUGCCACAUAUUAUAUAAUUGGAAAUUAUACAUUUUAUAAGAAUAAGUAGCUGUUAUUCUCUUAUGUUUGCCUCUGCUUUUUCUAGACCAUAAAGCUGUUUAUUACAGGGUUUAUAUUUUGAAUUCUUAGCAUCAUUUCUUUUAAAAUAUUGCAACUUUGAGUCUGAUUUUGAGAUAAAUUGUUUUAUUUUUGGAGUGUCAGUCUUGCACUUGUGUCCUGACUUAAAUUUGUUGCUUAUAAAAAUGGUUUGUCUAUUAAAAUGUCAAACACAGAUCCAGAGAUAGAAGAAUAAAAUAUAAUCAUACUCAACUUCCCCCUUCCCUUCUGAAAAUGGGUAGAAGGUGGUAGUUUUCCAUCUCAGCUAUUAAUCGCUGUUUGACAUAGGGCCCUGCCACUUAAGGCCCAAGGACAAAUCACUUAUCCUCUGAGAGCUGAAUUUCCUCAUCUAGAAAAACUGUACUUAACUUGCAGGAUUAUUAGGAGGAGUAAAUGAUGUAGGCAAAGUGCCUAGCCUGGUAAGGGCUUAAUAAAUGAUAGCUAUUACUAGCUUGAAAUUUUUGGAAAGAGUUAGCUUUGCAGAUAACUACAUAAACAUGAAAAAAUAUUUAUUUACAAUCCUGCAAGAAAAUGUGUGUCCCCAUAUUCCAUAGAUAGUGCCAUCAGUACUUGACUUGAAGAAGCCAGUAGAGUAUUAACUGCAGUAGAUCCAUAUUUUAACAGCACCUUUAAAACUGUAAAGCACUAUACAUAAAUUGUCAUUGUAAAGAUUGAAUCUAAUGAUGUGAGUAAAUGCUUGGCACAGUUUGUGGUGCAUAGUAAGGAGUCUAUAAAAGUAAGCUGCCAUUAUUUUUGUUUGUUAAUAUUAUUGUUCAUGCUGCCAGCGCUACCACUGCUUCUACAUAUUUGACAUGUUGGCAUUUAAAACAGAUGAGCUAUUUGAAUUUCUGAAUAAUGAGAUUUUGUUCCCUCAAACUUACUUAAAAGUUGAAAAUUUGCUUCAUUUUUCCCUUUAUAUGUUUAUUUGUGGCAAUUUCUUAAUGUCAUUUAAAUGCCACUCAUUAAAAUACAAGAAAUAAGUCAUUUUAUCUUUAAGUUUAAGAAAAAAGUGCUGGAUGGAUAGAAAAAGUAUUCUAAAAUAUUCUUUGUUGUACUGUAUAAUUUUUAUCUACUGGAUAUCUCUGUUCAAUCACUUAAAAUUUGCUGUGUUAUAUUCUGCUUUCGUAAUGUAUUUUUAAGCAAAAAUAAAGAUUUUUUUAUUGCAUCCCCAGGCAUCUAAUUGUGUGACAUAUGCUGCCAAAGAAAAAAUAGCUCCUUUACCUUUAGAAGGGCAUGACUCAACAUGGGAUGAGAUUAAGGAUGAUGCUCUUCAGCAUUCCUCACCAAGGGCAAUGUGUCGGUAUUCCCUGAAGUCCCCUUCAACUCGUAAAAUCUACUCUGAUGAAGAAGAACUGUUGUAUCUGAGUUUCAUUGAAGAUGUAACAGAUGAAAUUUUGAAACUUGGUUUAUUUUCAAACAGGUUUUUAGAACGACUGUUCGAGCGACAUAUAAAACAAAAUAAACAUUUGGAGGAGGAAAAAAUGCGCCACCUGCUGCAUGUCCUGAAAGUAGACUUAGGCUGCACAUCGGAGGAAAACUCGGUAAAGCAAAAUGUUGUUGAUAUGUUGAAUGUAUUUGAUUUUGAAAAGCCUGGGAAUUCAGAACCAAAUGAAUUAAAAAAUGAAAGUGAAGUAACAAUUCAGCAGGAACGUCAACAAUACCAAAAGGCUUUGGAUAUGUUAUUGUCGGCACCAAAGGAUGAGAACGAGAUAUUCCCUUCACCAACUGAAUUUUUCAUGCCUAUUUAUAAAUCAAAGCAUUCAGAAGGGGUUAUGAUUCAACAGGUGAAUGAUGAAACAAAUCUUGAAACUUCAACUUUGGAUGAAAAUCAUCCAAGUAUUUCAGACAGUUUAACAGAUCAGGAAACUUCUGUGAAUGUCAUUGAAGGUGAUAGUGACCCUGAAAAGGUUGAGAUUUCAAAUGGAUUAUGUGGUCUUAACACAUCACUCUCCCAAUCUGUUCAGUUCUCCAGUGUCAAAGGCGACAAUAAUCAUGACAUGGAGUUAUCAACUCUUAAAAUCAUGGAAAUGAGCAUUGAGGACUGCCCUUUGGAUGUUUAAUCUUCAUUAAUAAAUACCUCAAAUGGCCAGU
This 3608-nucleotide small RNA is filed under the name Pan troglodytes (chimpanzee). RNAcentral's name for it is "retained intron". The record is from RNAcentral. Lineage: Eukaryota; Metazoa; Chordata; Mammalia; Primates; Hominidae.